GACGAACGCUGGCGGCGUGCUUAACACAUGCAAGUCGAACGGAAAGGCCCUGCUUUUGUGGGGUGCUCGAGUGGCGAACGGGUGAGUAACACGUGAGUAACCUGCCCUUGACUUUGGGAUAACUUCAGGAAACUGGGGCUAAUACCGGAUAGGAGCUCCUGCUGCAUGGUGGGGGUUGGAAAGUUUCGGCGGUUGGGGAUGGACUCGCGGCUUAUCAGCUUGUUGGUGGGGUAGUGGCUUACCAAGGCUUUGACGGGUAGCCGGCCUGAGAGGGUGACCGGCCACAUGGGGACUGCGAUACGGCCCAGACUCCUACGGGAGGCAGCAGUGGGGAAUAUUGCACAACGGGCGGAAGCCUGAUGCAGCAACGCCGCGUGCGGGAUGACGGCCUUCGGGUUGUAAACCGCUUUCGCCUGUGACGAAGCGUGAGUGACGGUAAUGGGUAAAGAAGCACCGGCUAACUACGUG
RNAcentral lists this ribosomal RNA (468 nucleotides) under uncultured bacterium. Its description in RNAcentral is "partial 16S ribosomal RNA". It matches the Rfam family "Bacterial small subunit ribosomal RNA", at positions 28 to 507 of the family's 1533-position model. The record is from RNAcentral.